This 428-nucleotide ribosomal RNA is filed under the name Peripatus juanensis. RNAcentral describes it as "partial 16S ribosomal RNA". The record is from RNAcentral. Lineage: Eukaryota; Metazoa; Onychophora; Udeonychophora; Euonychophora; Peripatidae.
AGUUUUUUGUAAAUAUAAAAGAUGAAUUCUGCUCAAUGAGCAUUAAAUAGCCAUAGUAUUUAUGACUAUGCAAAGGUAGCAUAAUAAUUUGUCCUAUAAAUUAGGACUGGAAUGAAUGGAAUUAUGGGGUGGGGCUUUCUUAAAUUAAUUAUUAAAAAUAAUUUUUUUAGUGAAGAAACUAAAAUAUUAAUGAGGGACGAGAAGACCCUAUUAAGCUUAAUAUAAUUAUAUUUUGUUGGGGAAACAAAAGAAAGAAACUUCUUUUAAAAAAUUUUUUGAUAAUUUAAGAUUAAUUAUUAAUUAUGAUAGAAUAAGUUACUAUAGGGAUAACAGCAUAAUUUUUUUUAAAAGUUCUUAUUAUCAAAGAAGAUUAUGACCUCGAUGUUGGAUUAAAAAUAUUAUAUGAUGAAGUUGUUUAUAAAUUAGUC